Molecule: ribosomal RNA, 497 nt
Filed under: uncultured bacterium
Lineage: Bacteria
Description: partial 16S ribosomal RNA
Rfam family: Bacterial small subunit ribosomal RNA
Source: RNAcentral
GAUGAACGCUGGCGGCGUGCCUAAUACAUGCAAGUCGAGCGAACAGACGAGGAGCUUGCUCCUCUGACGUUAGCGGCGGACGGGUGAGUAACACGUGGAUGUCCUACCUAUAAGACUGGGAUAACUUCGGGAAACCGGAGCUAAUACCGGAUAAUAUAUUGAACCGCAUGGUUCAAUAGUGAAAGACGGUUUUGCUGUCACUUAUAGAUGGAUCCGCGCCGCAUUAGCUAGUUGGUAAGGUAACGGCUUACCAAGGCAACGAUGCGUAGCCGACCUGAGAGGGUGAUAGGCCACACUGGAACUGAGACACGGUCCAGACUCCUACGGGAGGCAGCAGUAGGGAAUCUUCCGCAAUGGGCGAAAGCCUGACGGAGCAACGCCGCGUGAGUGAUGAAGGUCUUCGGAUCGUAAAACUCUGUUAUUAGGGAAGAACAAAUGUGUAAGUAACUAUGCACGUCUUGACGGUACCUAAUCAGAAAGCCACGGCUAACUACGUG